AGAGUUUGAUCAUGGCUCAGAACGAACGCUGGCGGCAGGCUUAACACAUGCAAGUCGAGCGCCCAGCAAUGGGAGCGGCGCACGGGUGAGUAACACGUGGGAACGUGCCCUAUGGUUCGGAAUAACGCAGGGAAACUUGCGCUAAUACCGGAUAAGCCCUAACGGGGAAAGAUUUAUCGCCAUUGGAGCGGCCCGCGUUGGAUUAGCUAGUUGGUGGGGUAAAAGCCUACCAAGGCAACGAUCCAUAGCUGGUUUGAGAGAACGACCAGCCACACUGGGACUGAGACACGGCCCAGACUCCUACGGGAGGCAGCAGUGGGGAAUCUUGGACAAUGGGGGAAACCCUGAUCCAGCCAUGCCGCGUGAGUGAUGAAGGCCCUAGGGUUGUAAAACUCUUUCGGCGGGGACGAUAAUGACGGUACCCGCAGAAGAAGCUCCGGCUAACUUCGUGCCAGCAGCCGCGGUAAUACGAAGGGGGCUAGCGUUGUUCGGAAUUACUGGGCGUAAAGCGCGCGCAGGCGGUCCUUUAAGUCAGGGGUGAAAGCCCAGAGCUCAACUCUGGAACGGCCUUUGAAACUAGAGGACUUGGGUACGGGAGAGGUGAGUGGAAUUCCGAGUGUAGAGGUGAAAUUCGUAGAUAUUCGGAAGAACACCAGUGGCGAAGGCGGCUCACUGGCCCGUUACCGACGCUCAGGCGCGACAGCGUGGGGAGCAAACAGGAUUAGAUACCCUAGUAGUCC
RNAcentral lists this ribosomal RNA (740 nucleotides) under uncultured bacterium. RNAcentral's name for it is "bacterial SSU rRNA". It matches the Rfam family "Bacterial small subunit ribosomal RNA", at positions 8 to 796 of the family's 1533-position model. The record is from RNAcentral.